UGCAAGUCGAACGGUGAAGCCCUUCGGGGUGGAUCAGUGGCGAACGGGUGAGUAACACGUGGGCAAUCUGCCCUGCACUCUGGGACAAGCCCUGGAAACGGGGUCUAAUACCGGAUAUGACCUUCCUCCGCAUGGGGGUUGGUGUAAAGCUCCGGCGGUGCAGGAUGAGCCCGCGGCCUAUCAGCUUGUUGGUGGGGUAAUGGCCUACCAAGGCGACGACGGGUAGCCGGCCUGAGAGGGCGACCGGCCACACUGGGACUGAGACACGGCCCAGACUCCUACGGGAGGCAGCAGUGGGGAAUAUUGCACAAUGGGCGAAAGCCUGAUGCAGCGACGCCGCGUGAGGGAUGACGGCCUUCGGGUUGUAAACCUCUUUCAGCAGGGAAGAAGCGCAAGUGACGGUACCUGCAGAAGAAGCACCGGCUAACUACGUGCCAGCAGCCGCGGUAAUACGUAGGGUGCGAGCGUUGUCCGGAAUUAUUGGGCGUAAAGAGCUCGUAGGCGGCCUGUCGCGUCGGAUGUGAAAGCCCGGGGCUUAACCCCGGGUCUGCAUUCGAUACGGGCAGGCUAGAGUGUGGUAGGGGAGAUCGGAAUUCCUGGUGUAGCGGUGAAAUGCGCAGAUAUCAGGAGGAACACCGGUGGCGAAGGCGGAUCUCUGGGCCAUUACUGACGCUGAGGAGCGAAAGCGUGGGGAGCGAACAGGAUUAGAUACCCUGGUAGUCCACGCCGUAAACGUUGGGAACUAGGUGUUGGCGACAUUCCACGUCGUCGGUGCCGCAGCUAACGCAUUAAGUUCCCCGCCUGGGGAGUACGGCCGCAAG
RNAcentral lists this ribosomal RNA (821 nucleotides) under Streptomyces sp. POB2-2_Pa. RNAcentral describes it as "bacterial SSU rRNA". It matches the Rfam family "Bacterial small subunit ribosomal RNA", at positions 56 to 892 of the family's 1533-position model. Lineage: Bacteria; Bacillati; Actinomycetota; Actinomycetes; Kitasatosporales; Streptomycetaceae. The record is from RNAcentral.